Molecule: ribosomal RNA, 382 nt
Filed under: uncultured bacterium
Lineage: Bacteria
Description: bacterial SSU rRNA
Rfam family: Bacterial small subunit ribosomal RNA
Source: RNAcentral
GACGAACGCUGGCGGCGUGCUUAACACAUGCAAGUGGAGCGACGAACCGGGCUUCGGCCCGGGGCAGAGCCGCGAACGGGUGAGUAACACGUGGGUUACCUGCCCUGUUGACAGGGACAACCCGGGGAAACCCGGGCUAAUACCUGAUGUGCCCUUCGGGGAAGGGAAGCUUCGGCCUCCGCAACAGAUGGCCGCGGCGCAUUAGCUUGUUGGUGGGGUAACGGCCUACCAAGGCGACGAUGCGUAGCUGGCUGAGAGGACGAUCAGCCACACUGGGACUGAGACACGGCCCAGACUCCUACGGGAGGCAGCAGUGGGGAAUCUUGCGCAAUGCGCGAAAGCGUGACGCAGCAACGCCGCGUGGAGGAAGACGGCCUUGGUU